This is a non-coding RNA of Bombyx mori (domestic silkworm), 84 nucleotides long. The record is from Rfam. NCBI's taxonomy places the organism in Eukaryota, Metazoa, Arthropoda, Insecta, Lepidoptera, Bombycidae.
UUAACUCCAAUGUGUAUGGAGUUGGAACGAUUGCUUACGUUUGCCGCUAAGGGCGCUGUUCCAACUGCGUACAAAUUUGAGUUA